This 476-nucleotide ribosomal RNA is filed under the name Alternaria sp. Its description in RNAcentral is "partial large subunit ribosomal RNA". It matches the Rfam family "Eukaryotic large subunit ribosomal RNA", at positions 113 to 593 of the family's 3401-position model. Lineage: Eukaryota; Fungi; Ascomycota; Dothideomycetes; Pleosporales; Pleosporaceae. The record is from RNAcentral.
AUUUGAAAUCUGGCUCUUUUAGAGUCCGAGUUGUAAUUUGCAGAGGGCGCUUUGGCUUUGGCAGCGGUCCAAGUUCCUUGGAACAGGACGUCACAGAGGGUGAGAAUCCCGUACGUGGUCGCUGGCUAUUGCCGUGUAAAGCCCCUUCGACGAGUCGAGUUGUUUGGGAAUGCAGCUCUAAAUGGGAGGUACAUUUCUUCUAAAGCUAAAUAUUGGCCAGAGACCGAUAGCGCACAAGUAGAGUGAUCGAAAGAUGAAAAGCACUUUGGAAAGAGAGUCAAACAGCACGUGAAAUUGUUGAAAGGGAAGCGCUUGCAGCCAGACUUGCUUACAGUUGCUCAUCCGGGUUUUUACCCGGUGCACUCUUCUGUAGGCAGGCCAGCAUCAGUUUGGGCGGUAGGAUAAAGGUCUCUGUCACGUACCUCCUUUCGGGGAGGCCUUAUAGGGGAGACGACAUACUACCAGCCUGGACUGAG